This 375-nucleotide RNase P RNA is filed under the name Flavobacteriales bacterium. RNAcentral's name for it is "RNase P RNA component class A". It matches the Rfam family "Bacterial RNase P class A". Rfam says of the family: Ribonuclease P (RNase P) is a ubiquitous endoribonuclease, found in archaea, bacteria and eukarya as well as chloroplasts and mitochondria. Its best characterised activity is the generation of mature 5'-ends of tRNAs by cleaving the 5'-leader elements of precursor-tRNAs. The record is from RNAcentral. Lineage: Bacteria; Pseudomonadati; Bacteroidota; Flavobacteriia; Flavobacteriales.
CGUGCAAACCGUUCUAUCGCUCUGCAUUUAUUUGUGGUGAGGAAAGUCCGGGCUCCAUAGGGCAAUGCAGCGGGUAACACCCGUCAUUCAGCACAUAGUUUAUGUGCUGGAAGGACCAGUGCAACAGAAAGAAUGUACGACUCGGGUCUUAGGAUUCGUGGGCUGUAGUGAAAUCAGGUAAACUCUGCGUGGAGCAAGACCAAAUAAAGGGAGAGAAGCGGCCCGCUUCGUUGCCUGCCUUGCGGCAGGUAAAAUCCCAGGGUAGGUUGUUAGAUCUUGCCAGUAAUGGCAAGGCCAGACAAAUGAUAGAAACCCAGAAGUAGCGCUUGCGCACGCUUGUGGGAACAGAACCCGGCUUAUAGGUUUGCUAAUAAU